Molecule: long non-coding RNA, 572 nt
Organism: Petromyzon marinus (sea lamprey)
Lineage: Eukaryota; Metazoa; Chordata; Hyperoartia; Petromyzontiformes; Petromyzontidae
Source: RefSeq, a predicted model, not a curated record
UACCUAAAGACCCAAAGAAUAUGAAUUCCUGCAGUCACGAAAGCUUUAAGUUAAGAUUUAACCCGAACAUUUAUCAAGCUCCGAAACUCCCGAUCGUAAUCCAGCGACAGGAGAAGGAGGAUGAGAGGGGUGGGGGUUUGCGGGCAGUGGUGGCCGGGAUCACCAAUUUCCGACCGUCUUUGCGAAAUGCCAGCGACGUUGUACAACGAGUUCACACAAAAAUGAGCAGUGCGCUUCACCUCCUGGAGCUGAUGGCACAACCGUGGACACCAUCAGAGAAGCCAGGGACAAGUUUGCCACAAGAGUCUGUGUCAAGACCUGCCACCUACCCAGGAUCACGACUCUCAGGCAUGAGAUGCAAUGCUUGCUUGCUGCUGCUCCUUUCAAUGACGAUUUUAUUUUUCCGCAAAUUUUUUUGUUUCUUUCUAGCGCAGUCACAGAGGUCAAGCAGCGCCUGCACAAACGUCACUUAAUGAAGGUCUCACGAACCCCGCGGACGCGAAUUGCUCCAGUCGUGCGCUGCGAUGCCACGGGUUGUAAUUACGCAGUUGCCCAGCAGCGAGUGCUCACGC